Molecule: long non-coding RNA, 91 nt
Organism: Haliotis rubra (blacklip abalone)
Lineage: Eukaryota; Metazoa; Mollusca; Gastropoda; Lepetellida; Haliotidae
Exons: 3
Source: RefSeq, a predicted model, not a curated record
UUCUUUCUUGAAGCCCGUCACGUAGGUAGAGUCUGAUGUGUUGUAUCUUCUCUGGAACUGAAGUGUUCAGGUUCACAGUCCAGGUGGGAUU